Molecule: ribosomal RNA, 385 nt
Filed under: uncultured bacterium
Lineage: Bacteria
Description: bacterial SSU rRNA
Rfam family: Bacterial small subunit ribosomal RNA
Source: RNAcentral
AAUGGGGGAAACCCUGACGCAGCAACGCCGCGUGGAGGAAGAAGGUCUUCGGAUUGUAAACUCCUGUCUUUCGGGAAGAUAAUGACGGUACCGAAAGAGGAAGCCACGGCUAACUACGUGCCAGCAGCCGCGGUAAUACGUAGGUGGCGAGCGUUGUCCGGAAUUACUGGGCGUAAAGGGCGCGUAGGCGGCUUUUUAAGUCAGAUGUGAAAACCCGAGGCUUAACUUCGGGAUGGCAUUUGAAACUGGGGAGCUUGAGUGCAGGAGAGGUAAGUGGAAUUCCUAGUGUAGCGGUGAAAUGCGUAGAUAUUAGGAGGAACACCAGUGGCGAAGGCGACUUACUGGACUGUAACUGACGCUGAGGCGCGAAAGCGUGGGGAGCAAA